Molecule: ribosomal RNA, 253 nt
Filed under: uncultured bacterium
Lineage: Bacteria
Description: partial 16S ribosomal RNA
Rfam family: Bacterial small subunit ribosomal RNA
Source: RNAcentral
UACAGAGGGUGCGAGGGUUAAUCGGAGUUACUGGGCGUAAAGGGCGCGUAGGCGGUCAUACAAGUGAGAUGUGAAAUCCCUGGGCUUAACCCGGGAACUGCGUUUCAACCUGUAUGGCUUGAGUACUGUAGAGGGUAGUGGAAUUUCCGGUGUAGCGGUGAAAUGCGUAGAGAUCGGAAGGAACACCAGUGGCGAAGGCGGCUACCUGGACAGAUACUGACGCUGAUGCGCGAAAGCGUGGGGAGCUAACAGG